AGGAGUCUGUUCUGUGCCUAGAUUUGC
RNAcentral lists this non-coding RNA (27 nucleotides) under Mus musculus (house mouse). Lineage: Eukaryota; Metazoa; Chordata; Mammalia; Rodentia; Muridae. The record is from RNAcentral.